AGACAGUUAGUUUAAGAAAAAUAUUUGAUUUCGGCUCAAAAGCUUAUGGUUAAAGUCCAUAAUUGUCUA
RNAcentral lists this transfer RNA (69 nucleotides) under Parapterois heterurus (blackfoot lionfish). RNAcentral describes it as "tRNA-Arg". It matches the Rfam family "tRNA". Rfam says of the family: Transfer RNA (tRNA) molecules are approximately 80 nucleotides in length. Their secondary structure includes four short double-helical elements and three loops (D, anti-codon, and T loops). Further hydrogen bonds mediate the characteristic L-shaped molecular structure. tRNAs have two regions of fundamental functional importance: the anti-codon, which is responsible for specific mRNA codon recognition, and the 3' end, to which the tRNAs corresponding amino acid is attached (by aminoacyl-tRNA synthetases). tRNAs cope with the degeneracy of the genetic code in two manners: having more than one tRNA (with a specific anti-codon) for a particular amino acid; and 'wobble' base-pairing, i.e. permitting non-standard base-pairing at the 3rd anti-codon position. The record is from RNAcentral. Lineage: Eukaryota; Metazoa; Chordata; Actinopteri; Perciformes; Scorpaenidae.